GCCUGGCUAGCUCAAUCGGUAGAGCAUUUGACUCUUAGCGAACUACUAGUCAUCAAAAGGUUGCGGGUUCGAGCCCCGCGUUGGGCU
Molecule: transfer RNA, 87 nt
Filed under: Candida albicans P75010
Lineage: Eukaryota; Fungi; Ascomycota; Pichiomycetes; Serinales; Debaryomycetaceae
Description: tRNA-Lys
Rfam family: tRNA
About the family: Transfer RNA (tRNA) molecules are approximately 80 nucleotides in length. Their secondary structure includes four short double-helical elements and three loops (D, anti-codon, and T loops).
Source: RNAcentral